UAUAUAUGUGUGUAUAUAUAUAUAUGUAUGUAUAUAUGUGUGUAGUGGGAAUCCCCUAAUUUUGGGGACUUAAAAUUUGGAAAAAAGUUUUGUAAGGGAUUAUAAUAUUAUCCAUGUAUAAGAAACUCUCAUAUUUUUUAAACCUAAUUUUUGACA
Molecule: long non-coding RNA, 156 nt
Organism: Octopus sinensis (East Asian common octopus)
Lineage: Eukaryota; Metazoa; Mollusca; Cephalopoda; Octopoda; Octopodidae
Exons: 3
Source: RefSeq, a predicted model, not a curated record